GACGAACGCUGGCGGCGUGCCUAAUACAUGCAAGUAGAACGCUGAAGAGAGGAGCUUGCUCUUCUUGGAUGAGUUGCGAACGGGUGAGUAACGCGUAGGUAACCUGCCUUGUAGCGGGGGAUAACUAUUGGAAACGAUAGCUAAUACCGCAUAACAAUGGAUGACACAUGUCAUUUAUUUGAAAGGGGCAAUUGCUCCACUACAAGAUGGACCUGCGUUGUAUUAGCUAGUAGGUGAGGUAAUGGCUCACCUAGGCGACGAUACAUAGCCGACCUGAGAGGGUGAUCGGCCACACUGGGACUGAGACACGGCCCAGACUCCUACGGGAGGCAGCAGUAGGGAAUCGUCGGCAAUGGGGGCAACCCUGACCGAGCAACGCCGCGUGAGUGAAGAAGGUUUUCGGAUCGUAAAGCUCGGUUGUAAGUCAAGAACGGGUGUGAGAGUGGAAAGUUCACACUGUGACGGUAGCUUACCAGAAAGGGACGGCUAACUACGUG
This 497-nucleotide ribosomal RNA is filed under the name uncultured bacterium. RNAcentral describes it as "partial 16S ribosomal RNA". It matches the Rfam family "Bacterial small subunit ribosomal RNA", at positions 28 to 507 of the family's 1533-position model. The record is from RNAcentral.